CAAUAAAUAAUAAAUAAAUGUAUUAAAAAAAUGCACAAAAUAAGCCACCCAUUCGGAUGUUCAGAGGCUCCAUAGUUACCGUGGAAACGCCAUCAUCUUCUACAUCCCACCACAUGUAGCUCAUUUAAUGCGAUAAAUCCAACAAAUCGCUGAAGAAAUAAAGUUAAAAAAAAAAAAAGAAAAAUACAUAAUAUAAGAGGGAAAAUGUUGAAUUAUUUUUGCUAGAAUCACCACAUGUUGUGAGUUAUAUGAAGUACUAGUGCAUUCAACACUGACAAUGGAAAGUAACAUGAGGUAAUAAAAGGUUGAAAGUAAUGAAGUAAAGUAAUGUGGAAAAGAUGUACUAAAAUAAAGCAAAAAUGACUACAUAAGUGACAAAAUGAAAAAAAAAAAAACAGCCAAAAUAAUGAAUAAAAUGAACAAAAAAGACUAUUAAAUCAACAAAUUCAUCAUAAUUAAUAAUACGUUUUUUAAAAAAGUAAGUAAAAUGAACAAAAUAAAUCACAAGCUGAACAAAAUUGAAGAAAAAUGAACAAAAUAAUGAACAAAAACAUUAAAUAAUAAAUGAAGUGUAUAAAAAAUGCACAAAAUAAGCCACCCAUUUGGACGUUCAGAGGCUCUGUUGUUGCCGUGGAAACGCUAUCAUCUUCUACAUCCUACCACAUGUAGCUCAUUUAAUGUAAUAAAUCCAACAAAUUGUUGAAGAAAUACUGUAAAACAAACAAAACACAAUGUAAGAGGGAAUAUGAUGAAUUAUUUUUGCUGGAAUCACCACAUGAUAUGAGUUAUAUGAAGUACUAGUGCAUUCAACACUGACAACAGAAAGUAACAUGAGGUAAUAAAAGGUUGAAAGUAAUGAAGUGACGUACUGUUCAUACGUUUAGUCUAGUUUUGAGUCUUUGUUACAACAGAAGGAGGAGGCGGAGCUCCGGCUGUGUCUUGGUGUGUAAUAUGGUCACCCUGUUCUGUGUGUCCUCGGGUGCAGAAGGAGCUUUGUUGGGUGUGUCCCCCCCACCCCCACCCCACUGUCCUACAUGGCUUGUGUUUCACUGUUGGAACUUCUGAAGAUUAGCGUGGAAGCCAGACUACAAACUGAGCCUAAUUCGAGCUCAUGUGCAGUUUCAGCUUUGACAAUAAGAGCUCCUUCGUGACUGAAUGUGUCAGUGGUCUGCUUUCAAGAACUUCAACAGGAAUGUCAAGUGUUUACAUUCCGUCCACUCCCUGACCCCUUUUCCUUAGCCAGAGGAAAUCAAGCCCCUUAUCAACCGCCGUAACAUGGCCACAUUUUAAUAACACGUGUAUGAUUAGGCACAAAACAUGUCAUUGGGGAAAUUUCAUGCAUGAGCGAAAGAAGAAGAAAAAACCAAAACAUUAAACUGUAGUCAACCACCUCUCAUAUGGAUGAACAAAAACAUCCAAAGUAAGGAAUAAAAUAUCCAAAAUGAUCAAUAAAUAAACUAAUUGAUAUGUAAAA
Molecule: long non-coding RNA, 1474 nt
Organism: Sphaeramia orbicularis (orbiculate cardinalfish)
Lineage: Eukaryota; Metazoa; Chordata; Actinopteri; Kurtiformes; Apogonidae
Exons: 2
Source: RefSeq, a predicted model, not a curated record